This 502-nucleotide long non-coding RNA is filed under the name Calidris pygmaea (Spoon-billed sandpiper). RNAcentral's name for it is "lncRNA (ENSCPGG00000016021.1)". The record is from RNAcentral. Lineage: Eukaryota; Metazoa; Chordata; Aves; Charadriiformes; Scolopacidae.
AUAGACCAAGUGUUUCAUCCUCUCAACAUAGCCCAGCGCCCGACGAUAAAACCAGCUGCCAGAGACCACUGGGAGGCAGUGGACAGGACCGAGGGUGUGGGGAGUGGAGCAGGGCUCCUCGUAGGAUACACUAAGGGCUGCCCGGCCGUGAGUUUCACCCAGAUCUUCUUCUGGGGCUGUCUACGGUGUGACACAGCUGUCGGGACUACCGAGACCUCCCUAUGAGAGGACGCGGUCAUUUUUAGACAUAUCAGGCAACACCAGCCGCAUACUUCGCCAAGGACAAGGGAGGUCCUCUGCGCCCUCCGUGAAGGAGCUGUCGGCUCUCUAUCUCUCCCAGACAGCUGCUGCUGCUGACGCCGGCAGCCCCCCACAGCCGAGUACUGUGAAGGACAACUCCAUUCGCCCUCCCCACAGCCAGAGAAAAAGCAAGCCCAUGUUGAAAGAAGUGUGUGCCUCAUGCCUGCAGCCUGUCUACUCCAUGGAGCGUGUGGUCACUGAC